CAUAACGUUUGUGCAUUGAGUCUGUGUGUAAGUGUUUUGUUUAUGCAUCAUAUGUAGAUUAAAUUAAUAAUGUUGUGUUUGUGAAAAAAUAUAAAUUGCAAUAUGCUCAUAAUUGUAAUAUUAUCUCAUGAUUUCUUGUUCUAUGUGGCUCUGUUCUUGCAUUAAGGCAUAGGCAAGUUGAAUUCUGAGCAGGUUACAAAUUACAAGCGAAUGUAGUGUAAUAUUAUAAUUCUGAAAAUUCAAAAUGUACAUUUAAUUGAUGUUUUUAAUGAAAGUUCCAUUCUGUCUGCCUGUGUUCUUUCAUUGAGGUAAGAAAGAGCACUAGUGACAUCUGCACCCUGACUGAGACCGACAUCUCAAAUGCCCAACAGGUUGUGCAAGCCCUCAAGCCAAUGCUGGUGGCAACAAAAAUCAUCUGCGAGGAGAAGAGCCCAACAAUCUCCAUAAUUGCUCCGCUCCUUGCCCAGCUUUUGAGUGACACCACUGCCACCAUUGAAGUUUCCUCUCUCGUUAGAGAGAUCAAGACCGCCAUCCACCGAGACCUGUCCAGGCGCUAUGACUCUAUGGAGGAGAAAAAGUUCCUGCGCAUCUAGUCAGCCUUAGACCCCAGGUUUAAGUCUCUGCAGUUCCUAUUGCCACAAGACGCCCAGGACACAAACACCAAAUUAAUGGAAAUGGCUGCUGCUCUCAAGGAAGAUGAUGCAGACAUGGAUACAUUUCAAGUGAGCCCUGACGACAAGGAGGGAAACCCUGACCCACAGACUCCAGAGACUAGCGCAGUGAGUGCACACACACCAAGGAAGUGGAAGUCUGCGCUCACUGAUCUCCUUGGUCAGACAUUCAAGAUGACCCACCAACGACUGUUGGCUUCUUCCUUCGCAGAAAGAGAGGUCAAGCAAUACCUAGAUGCUCCACCACUAGCACUGACUGAUGACCCGUUGCACUGGUGGAAGUCUCAUGCUCAAGCCUACCCACUCCUUGCCAAGCUGGCCCAAAGACAUCUCUGUGUCCCAGGGACCAGUGUACCUGCGGAACGUGUCUUCUCUACAGCAGGUGUCAUAAUCAGCUCUCAAAGGAGCUGUCUCACCUCUGAGCAUGCUGACCAGUUGCUCUUCCUGAAGAAGAACAUGCUGUUUUGAAACGUUUGCACAUUACAGAUUCAGUUGAAUUUUAUUUUUGCUCUGUGUUAACUUUGUUCUUUGUGUUCAUAAAACAAUCUGAUUCUGCUUGUUCAGCAGCACUGUGUCCAUUGUUUACAGAAAAGUUGAUUACUAAGCAAUGAAAUGUUUUCUGCAUUUAUUUUGUUUUCUAAUUUUCUGUUACUUUGCAUAAAAUGUUUUUGUAAAAAAUUCUGAAUUUCUUCAGUGACACAGAUAUCGUGAUGUAUCGUGGGUGAAAUUUCUUGCAAUAUAUCGAUAAUCGCAGAAUCGCUGUAUCGUGAUAUUAUCGUUAUCGUGGGUAAAAUAUCGUGAUAGUAUCGUAUCGUGGGGUACCUAGUGAUACCCAGCCCUACUGACAACAUACACAGGGAUACUCUCAUCCGGCUGUUUGGCAACAACGUAAACAGUGGAUUCCCAUUUGUCAGAGAUUUUGUGCUUCUUUCUGAGACUCAGAUUCCUCACAAGGACUCGAUCCCCUACCUCUAAAGGCAAGGCGGUCACCUUAGCAUCCCAGCGCCUUUUGUUCAACAACUGCCGUUUUUCAGCAUUUCUUGACGCUACCUCAUUUGCGUGUCUGAGUCUUUUCUUUAG
Gadus morhua (Atlantic cod) is the source of this 1751-nucleotide long non-coding RNA. Lineage: Eukaryota; Metazoa; Chordata; Actinopteri; Gadiformes; Gadidae. The record is from Ensembl.